ACUGCUGGGGCCGCGUCUCCAGAGUGGACCUUACCGCGCCCCCUCGAAAAUUCCCGAACUCUCUGAGUGUGGACACUUUUUGCCUCACCCAGAACAGGAAAACUGGUACAUCCAGACUCUAGGAGUCGGGGUCCUCUGGCUUUUUAAGAGUGGGCACCGCGGCCGCGCAAGCACCGGAAAUAGGAUUCUGAGGGGCAGAUUUGUAGAGGAACUCUCCCAGCACACCAGGAGAUGAAGGCGGGUUGCAGUAUUCACUCAUGUCUCCACUCUGGAAUAAAAGGACGACUCCCAAGGAAACAGUAAAGUAUCUGGUUUUUCUUAAUUAUAUAUAUUUUCCUAGUGAUUUUUUUACCUCUAUUUCAAAUACUUCCUCAUUUCCUUAAGAAGCCUAUCAUUUUUCUCUUCUAUCACAUUGGAUUUUCUUACAAAUGUUAGUUUUAAAUCCUUUUUCUGGAGUUUCCUCGAUUUCUUUCAUCUAGUAUCUAUUCU
Ochotona curzoniae (black-lipped pika) is the source of this 489-nucleotide long non-coding RNA. RefSeq lists it as uncharacterized. NCBI's taxonomy places the organism in Eukaryota, Metazoa, Chordata, Mammalia, Lagomorpha, Ochotonidae. The record is from RefSeq and is a predicted model, not a curated record. The transcript has 3 exons.